UUUAAUUCGAUGAUACGCGAGGAACCUUACCUGGGCUCGAACGUAAGAUGACUGUAGGUGAAAGCUUACAUCUCUUCGGAGCAUUUUACGAGGUGCUGCAUGGUUGUCGUCAGCUCGUGCCGUGAGGUGUCGGGUUAAGUCCCAUAACGAGCGCAACCCCUACCUUUAGUUGCCAUCAGGUAAUGCUGGGGACUCUAAAGGAACUGCCUACGCAAGUAGUGAGGAAGGCGGGGAUGACGUCAAAUCAGCACGGCCCUUACGUCCGGGGCUACACACGUGCUACAAUGGCCGAUACAGAGGGCAGCUACCUGGUGACAGGAUGCAAAUCUCCAAAGUCGGUCUCAGUCCGGAUCGGAGUCUGCAACCCGACUCCGUGAAGUUGGAUUCGCUAGUAAUCGCGCAUCAGCCAUGGCGCGGUGAAUACGUUCCCGGGCCUU
Molecule: ribosomal RNA, 437 nt
Filed under: uncultured Sphingobacteriales bacterium
Lineage: Bacteria; Pseudomonadati; Bacteroidota; Sphingobacteriia; Sphingobacteriales
Description: bacterial SSU rRNA
Rfam family: Bacterial small subunit ribosomal RNA
Source: RNAcentral